AACAAAUUGACUAAAGAGGUUUGACAACUUGCUAUUAAGCUUUGGAUAUUUCAGCUGCGUUCAUGCAUGCAAUCCAAUAAUUAGGUGUGUUCCUCUGCCUGGAAAGGUUACUUAGGUAUCAGCUAACCUCAUCAAACGUGUUCCUUUGCACAGGCUUUUCACAUAUCUUACAAUGCCUGGGCAAUUCUUUUACAUACCAACCAACCAAAAGAUGCAUUGAUGCAUUCAGAUGAAUGAAACUAGGCUGUACUGACCAACAAGUUGAUGGAAAGGGUUGGGAUGUGGGUUGGAAAACUCAUGGCCUCUUUAAACACACCACUCAUUACUUCAGGCCACACCCUGCCACACUGACCAAACAGCAUUAAGUGUCCAUCAAAGUGUGUUCUAGAAUGUUCUGUGAAAAAACGUGCAGUAAAAAUAGUUAUAGAACGUACAGUAUGUAUCAAUGGGUCCCUCUGCUGUGCUGGGGUGACUAAUCACACUACAUAAGUUAUUUCUCAUUUUUCAUCUCCACAUUGUGUUGACCAGUUUAACAUCUGACAGUUUAACAUCUGUUUAUGUAUAGUGGGGUCCUUUAUUUUGUAAAAAAAAAAAAGUAUGUGGAACACACUGUAUAUCAGAAUUGGGAUUGCUGUUUAAAUACAGCCUUUCUCAAAUGUAAAAAGUUUCAUGUAGAGUAUUUAAAAAUAUCAACAUGGUAAUAAGGCUGUGUUUAAAUAGCCCAAUUCUGAUAUAAACUAUGUUCCACUUAUUGAUCUUUUGACAAAUCACAUCAGGACUUGUUCAGUAAAUGUGUCUGGAACAUUCAAUUGAAUUUUAAUGAAAAAUGGGGAAAGGAUAGUUUGUGGGAAUGCUGUAAACAUGAUUACUGCCCUUUAAAUACGUCACUAACUGUCAGAUCUGUCAGGCAUCAGCAACAUAUAAGCAGAGGAAAGUAACUAGAGGUAGACUGGAUGUGUAAAAUGUUAUUUACAUGUUCAUAAUCUGAGUAAAAUCACCAUACCAUGAAAUUCCAAGUUUGAUAGCACAUGGUUUUGAUGACAUGAAGCAGAUAUCGGCACAUAAUUAACAGUACGCUCAGUUUGGGGUACUUGUUUUGGCUUGACAACACCUGUUUCAUUACCAGUGGCCAAACAUGUAAGAAUGCAUGUUUAAACUUUCUGUUUAAUUGAAUGUUCCACUAGGUUUUUUGGCCUAUACCAAGGCAAGAUCUAAUGAUUGGGCGUCUGAUUAUUCAAAAGACAAGUGAAAAAAAAUCAUAAUUCAAUGGAGCCUUACAGCUAGCUUAUGUUACGUAGCUGACUUAUAGUUGGAGGGGGAAAACCUCAUUCAUUUCAGUAUAACUGUUGAAUCUGCUAUUAAUAAAGUGAUUUGC
This is a long non-coding RNA of Esox lucius (northern pike), 1375 nucleotides long. The record is from Ensembl. Lineage: Eukaryota; Metazoa; Chordata; Actinopteri; Esociformes; Esocidae.